GAUGAACGCUAGCGGCAGGCCUAACACAUGCAAGUCGAGGGGCAGCACGUUAAGUUAGCAAUAACUUAUGGUGGCGACCGGCGGACGGGUGCGUAACGCGUAUGUAACCUACCUUUGAUUGGGGGAUAAUUCGGAGAAAUCUGGUCUAAUACCCCAUAACAUCCCGGGGGGCAUCUCCUGGGGUUAAAAAUUCAGGUGAUUAGAGAUGGACAUGCGUAACAUUAGUUAGUUGGUGAGGUAACGGCUCACCAAGACUACGAUGUUUAGGGGGACUGAGAGGUUAACCCCCCACACUGGAACUGAGACACGGUCCAGACUCCUACGGGAGGCAGCAGUGAGGAAUAUUGGUCAAUGGGGGCAACCCUGAACCAGCCAUGCCGCGUGCAGGAAGACGGCUCUAUGAGUUGUAAACUGCUUUUGUACGAGGGUAAAGUGGGGUACGUGUACCCUUUUGAAAGUAUCGUACGAAUAAGGAUCGGCUAACUCCGUGCCAGCAGCCGCAGUAA
RNAcentral lists this ribosomal RNA (506 nucleotides) under uncultured bacterium. Its description in RNAcentral is "partial 16S ribosomal RNA". It matches the Rfam family "Bacterial small subunit ribosomal RNA", at positions 28 to 523 of the family's 1533-position model. The record is from RNAcentral.